Molecule: ribosomal RNA, 1528 nt
Filed under: metagenome
Description: bacterial SSU rRNA
Rfam family: Bacterial small subunit ribosomal RNA
Source: RNAcentral
AGAGUUUGAUUCUGGCUCAGAACGAACGCUGGCAGCGUGGAUGAGGCAUGCAAGUCGAACGGGAUCCAGAGAGUAGCAAUACGAUUUGGUGAGAGUGGCGAAAGGGUGAGGAACGCGUGGGCAACCUACCCUGAAGUUGGGGAUAACCUGCCGAAAGGCGGGCUAAUACCGAAUGUGGUCGUCCUUCGCAUGGGGGACGAACUGAAGAUGGGGAUUCUUCGGAACCUGUCGCUUCAGGAGGGGCCCGCGUCCCAUCAGCUAGUUGGUGAGGUAACGGCCCACCAAGGCUUACGGGUAGCUGGUCUGAGAGGAUGGUCAGCCACACUGGGACUGAGACACUGCCCAGACUCCUACGGGAGGCUGCAGUCGAGGAUCAUUUGCAAUGGGCGAAAGCCUGACAGUGCGACGCUGCGUGGAGGAUGAAGGCCUUAGGGUUGUAAACUCCUGUCAUUCGGAAACAAUAGCGUUGGGUGUAAUAUACCCUACGCCUGAUGGUACCGAAAGAGGAAGCCACGGCUAACUCUGUGCCAGCAGCCGCGGUAAUACAGAGGUGGCGAGCGUUGUUCGGAUUUACUGGGCGUAAAGGGUGCGUAGGUGGUACUGUAUGUCGGAUGUGAAAUCCCACUGCUCAACGGUGGAACUGCAUUCGAAACUGCAGAGCUAGGGUGCAGGAGAGGAGAGCGGAAUUCUUGGUGUAGCGGUGAAAUGCGUUGAUAUCAAGAAGAACACCGGUGGCGAAGGCGGCUCUCUGGAAUGCUACUGACACUGAGGCACGAAAGCUGGGGGAGCAAACAGGAUUAGAUACCCUGGUAGUCCCAGCCCUAAACGGUGUACAUUUGUUGUUGGCGGAUUUGACCCCGCCAGUGACGGAGCUAACGCGUUAAAUGUACCGCCUGGGGAGUACGGCCGCAAGGCUAAAACUCAAAGAAAUUGACGGGGGCCCGCACAAGCGGAGGAGCAUGUGGCUUAAUUCGAUGCAACGCGAAGAACCUUACCUGGGCUUGACAUGCAGCUGCAGGCCCCGGGAAACCGGGGCGGCCUUCGAGGGCGCUGCACAGGUGCUGCAUGGCUGUCGUCAGUUCGUGCCGUGAGGUGUUUGGUUAAGUCCAGCAACGAACGCAACCCUUGUGCUUAGUUGCCACCCCCGAUGAUGAGUCGGGGAGCACUCUAGGCAGACCGCCCGUGUAAGCGGGAGGAAGGUGGGGAUGACGUCAAGUCAGUAUGGCCCUUACGCCCAGGGCUGCACACGUGCUACAAUGGAAGUUACAGAAGGACGCAAAAACCGCGAGGUGGAGCAAAUCCUCAAAAGCUUCCUCAGUUCAGAUUGCAGUCUGCAACUCGACUGCAUGAAGUCGGAUUCGCUAGUAACGGCGCAUCAGCUACGGCGCCGUGAAUACGUUCCCGGGCCUUGUACACACCGCCCGUCACAUCAUGAAAGCCGUCUGCACCCGAAGUCGCCGAAUCAACCCGCAAGGGAGAUAAGUGCCGAAGGUGUGGGUGGUGAUUGGGAUGAAGUCGUAACAAGGUA